CGGGGGAGGCGGGAUCCUGGGCUGUGUCCCCGGCGCCCUGUGCUCCCAGGCCUGCGCUGUUGGAUUGGCUCUCCCCGGAGCCGCGCAGCCCCCU
Molecule: microRNA precursor, 94 nt
Filed under: Canis lupus familiaris (dog)
Lineage: Eukaryota; Metazoa; Chordata; Mammalia; Carnivora; Canidae
Also listed under: 1 other name
Description: mir-8799 microRNA precursor family
Rfam family: mir-8799 microRNA precursor family
Source: Rfam by way of RNAcentral